ACCAUCAUUAAGUUGGGGACUCUAGCGAGACUGCCAGUGAUAAACUGGAGGAAGGUGGGGGAUGACGUCAAAUCAUCAUGCCCCUUAUGACCUGGGCUACAAACGUGAUACAAUGGCUGGAACAAAGGGAUGCGAAGCAGUGAUGUGGAGCGAAACCCAUAAAAACAGUCUCAGUUCGGAUUGAAGUCUGCAACUCGACUUCAUGAAGUCGGAAUCGCUAGUAAUCGCGGAUCAGAACGCCGCGGUGAAUACGUUCUCGGGGUUU
Molecule: ribosomal RNA, 265 nt
Filed under: uncultured Acholeplasma sp.
Lineage: Bacteria; Bacillati; Mycoplasmatota; Mollicutes; Acholeplasmatales; Acholeplasmataceae
Description: partial 16S ribosomal RNA
Rfam family: Bacterial small subunit ribosomal RNA
Source: RNAcentral